This 467-nucleotide ribosomal RNA is filed under the name uncultured bacterium. Its description in RNAcentral is "bacterial SSU rRNA". It matches the Rfam family "Bacterial small subunit ribosomal RNA", at positions 28 to 507 of the family's 1533-position model. The record is from RNAcentral.
GACGAACGCUGGCGGCGUGCCUAACACAUGCAAGUCGAGCGGGGACAUCGUAGCAAUAUGGUGUUCCAGCGGCGGACGGGUGAGUAACGCGUGAGCAAUCUGUCCCAGACGGGGGGAUAACAGAUGGAAACAUCUGCUAAUACCGCAUAAGACCACGAGGUCACAUGAUCUUGGGGUAAAAGGAGAAAUCCGGUUUGGGGUGAGCUCGCGUCCGAUUAGCUAGUUGGCGGGGUAACGGCCCACCAAGGCGACGAUCGGUAGCCGGCCUGAGAGGGCGAUCGGCCACACUGGAACUGAGAAACGGUCCAGACUCCUACGGGAGGCAGCAGUGGGGAAUAUUGGGCAAUGGGCGAAAGCCUGACCCAGCAACGCCGCGUGAGGGAAGAAGGUUUUCGGAUUGUAAACCUCUGUCCUUGGUGACGAACGAAAUGACGGUAGCCAAGGAGGAAGCCCCGGCUAACUACGUG